This 340-nucleotide ribosomal RNA is filed under the name Cellulophaga geojensis KL-A. RNAcentral describes it as "bacterial LSU rRNA". It matches the Rfam family "Bacterial large subunit ribosomal RNA", at positions 173 to 512 of the family's 2925-position model. The record is from RNAcentral. Lineage: Bacteria; Pseudomonadati; Bacteroidota; Flavobacteriia; Flavobacteriales; Flavobacteriaceae.
AGAGAAGCAAACCCGGAGAACUGAAACAUCUAAGUACCCGGAGGAGGAGAAAACAAAAGUGAUUCCGUUAGUAGUGGCGAGCGAACGCGGAUUAGCCCAAACCAAUAUUGUUUCGGCAGUAUUGGGGUUGUAGGACCACGAUAUUUGGUGUGUUAUGAAUUAGAAUACGUUGGAAAGCGUGGCCAUAGCAGGUGAUAGCCCUGUAUAAGUAAAGACCAUUACCGAUAGUGGUAUCCUGAGUAGCACGGGGCACGUGAAACCUUGUGUGAAUUUGGCGGGACCAUCCGUUAAGGCUAAAUACUCCUGAGAGACCGAUAGUGAACCAGUACCGUGAGGGAAA